AGUGAACGCUGGCGGUAGGCCUAACACAUGCAAGUCGAACGGCAGCACAGUAAGAGCUUGCUCUUACGGGUGGCGAGUGGCGGACGGGUGAGGAAUACAUCGGAAUCUACUUUUUCGUGGGGGAUAACGUAGGGAAACUUACGCUAAUACCGCAUACGACCUACGGGUGAAAGCAGGGGAUCUUCGGACCUUGCGCGAUUGAAUGAGCCGAUGUCGGAUUAGCUAGUUGGCGGGGUAAAGGCCCACCAAGGCGACGAUCCGUAGCUGGUCUGAGAGGAUGAUCAGCCACACUGGAACUGAGACACGGUCCAGACUCCUACGGGAGGCAGCAGUGGGGAAUAUUGGACAAUGGGCGCAAGCCUGAUCCAGCCAUACCGCGUGGGUGGAGAAAGCCUUCGGGUUGUAAAGCCCUUUUGUUGGGAAAAAAAAGCAGCAGGUUAAUACCCCGCUGUUCUGACGGUACCCAAAGAAUAAGCACCGGCUAACUUCGUG
RNAcentral lists this ribosomal RNA (492 nucleotides) under uncultured bacterium. RNAcentral's name for it is "partial 16S ribosomal RNA". It matches the Rfam family "Bacterial small subunit ribosomal RNA", at positions 29 to 507 of the family's 1533-position model. The record is from RNAcentral.